CUUUUAUCUCAUUUGAUUCCAAUGUAGCUAGGCUUUACGAUUAGGCGAAUGGUAGCUUCUUCGUUCUUAGCUAAGUAAAACCUGAUUGAGCAAAAGCAGAGGUCUGUAGCUAUUUACAGAUCUCACGUAUACUUCAGGGAAAUCGAAUUGGUCAUCGUGAUUGGGUGAAUCUUAGUUUCAUUUUCUUAUAACUAAAUGGUUCAGUACAUGAUGGUACAUUAGUUAUAUAGCUUUAUCUUUUGUUUGAGAUGAUCUUAGUGACUUUAUUGUUCAUAUCUGUGUUUGUUGUAUUUUGCUUACAGAACACUCGGGAAACAGCGCACGCUAUCAGGAAGCUACCAUUGCUCAAGGCCAAGAGGUACCUUGAGGAUGUGAUAGCUCACAAGCAGGCUAUUCCCUUCACCCGUUUCUGCAGAGGUGUUGGAAGGACUGCUCAAGCCAAGAACAGGCACUCCAAUGGUCAGGGACGUUGGCCUGCUAAGUCUGCUCAGUUCGUUCUUGAUUUGCUCAAGAACGCCGAGAGCAAUGCUGAGGUGAAAGGUUUGGAUGUUGAUGCGCUCUUCAUUUCGCACAUUCAAGUCAACCAGGCUGCAAAGCAGAGGAGAAGGACUUACCGUGCUCACGGAAGAAUCAACCGUAAGUUUUUUUUGAGAUUCUUUAAUUUGACUUAACAUGUUUUUCUCUUGGGUAAUGAAUGACUCAUUGGUUCUUUUCUUGGCUGCAGCUUACAUGUCCAACCCAUGCCACAUUGAGUUGAUUCUGUCAGAGAAGGAAGAGUCUGUCAAGAAAGAGGUAAUAAGAGUCUGUCUUAAUCUCACGAUCUUGUGUCUUAACAACAGUGAUUCUCAAUUUGUUUUUGUUUGUUUGUUUGUGUUUUUGAUUAUUGCAGCCGGAGACCCAGUUGGCAGCCAAGUCGAAGAAAUCAACUGCUUAAGCUUUCGUUUAUUUUCAGUAUCUUUUUUUGUGUUCCUGAACGAGAUUUUGUUCCCUUUUCUCCAUAUUAUCAAGACAAUGGAUAGAGUUCAAUGUGGGUCUUAUGAAUCAUUAAUCAUGGUUACUAGAAUCUUUCUAUCUAAAUCAUUCUAUUUACCAUUCUUCUAUGUUAUGUCAGUAUAAUCUUUAGUUUUAACUCUGCUUAUGACCUUCGAUGGUAUAAGACUUGCUCAUUAGAAAGUGUGUUGGGAAGUGUUGGUACUUAGUAUGUGCAACAAAUGAGAAUCAAAAGUAAAAUCUAUUUUGCUUUGCAAAGUUUCCCUAAGUUUUUACCAAAGAUUUUUUGAUUUACUUGGCACUUUCAUUCUUUAUACAAAAGACUUUAGUGAAAAUAGACACUGAUUCCGUGGAUCUUCACAUCAUCAUCUUUCUUUCUCGUUCUCAAUCGCUUGGACAAUUGGGUCGUCCUCUAUGUCCAAGUCGCUCUCUUCAUCUUCGUACUCGUCUAGCUCACUAAUCAUUGUUUGUUUAACCUUCUUCCUCGACUCUCUCCUAUGCUUCUUCGGCUGUAGUCUUGGUUCAGCUUGUUUCACACCCAUCCCUCCUACUUUGUACCUGUCUCAAAUGAUCCUAUGAUUAGUACACAUCUAGGCUUGCGACAAUAAAGCCUGUUGGUUUCUCAAAACAGUUACCUAACAUCACCUUCCCUUUUGGUUCCAAAAGUCCUAAGUUGAAACUCCUCCCUGACUCUGAUCUCAUCAAGCAGUUGUAAGUAGUAAGGAUACCUUUCCCACUCUCCUUUCACUACACAUCCUGGUUCUCCGAUAUGCAAGCAAUCUUUGAAUCCACAUUUCUCUUCCUCUAUCAUUUUCCUUAUCUAAGCCAUAAAAGAGUUAAAAGACGCAUCCUUCACAAUCACUCUAUAUAUGCGAAAUGCGAAAUGAGCACAAGACAAAGGGUACAAACCUCAGGGAAACACAAGGCAAGUGAAUGCUUGGUUACUUUCAGCAAACUAGGCUGGUUAAAACCAGGAGUAUCAGCGAGAUAACCACCUUCAGUAAUCGGCAGCAGCGACACAUUUCGAGUUGUGUGUUUGCCUCUACCACUUCUAGUUGAAACUUCACCAACUCGCUGAUCUUCAAACCACUUAUUACCUAUUAUCUGAAAUAUAUAUAACCAAGUUCAAGCCAAGAGAAUAUUGUAAAACAAAGUUCAGAUAAGCACAAACAGAACCUUACAGGCUCAAACCAAUUCUCGUCUUCAACGUCACCACCACCAGAGCUGCUCCUCAAUAUGUUGAUUAAACUCGACUUCCCAACACCACUAGGUCCAACAAUCACAGAAGUCUGAUUCCUCAGGACGAACGCAAUCGCGUCAAGCCCCUCUUUAGUUCCCACACUGCAAAAGAACGGUUCAUAGUUCCAUCCACGCAGUCUCAUCUUCCAAGAUUCCAAUUCCUGAAAACAAAGAUAAUGCCUUCCUAAUCAAGAACAAGAACAUUAGAAACAAAGAUCAUGUCUCUCUAAUCAAGCCCUGAAGUACAUUUUCUACUUAACAAACUACUCAAACGCUAUCAACACAACCUUCCAAGAAUCCAAUUCCUUACAAACAGUGCUCUAAUCAAGCCUUCAUGCGAUGAGCUAUGCAAACAAGAACAUUGUAAACAAAGCUCAUUGCUCUUCAUUUGAGUAUCUAAACUAGCAAUGAGUUCUUGCCUCUUCGGUGAUGAGUUCGCAUUUGUUCAAGGCAAGUGUGAGUGGAAUCCCAGUGGACUCAGCUUCCACUAAGAACCUAGUGAGCGUGAACGGCUCAAGCUUGGGCUGAUCAAGCGAGAAAAGAACAAGCAAGUGAUCAACAUUCGCCACCGGAGGAUCAAGAAUCUCGGACCUCCGCUGGAACACAUUCUCAAUCAUCCCUCUCCGAUCAACCCAAUCGAUAGACCCAACGAGAACCUUAUCCCCAACCAGCACUCUCCUCCUUAUCUUCUUCAGCACUGCUCUCACCACGCAGAGCAGCUCAACUCCGUCCUUAGACGACGACGUAGAAGAAGAACGAUCGUCUCCAUCUCCGUCUCCGUCCUGGACGACGACGCGCAUGAAGUUGGCCUGGGCGGUGGCGACGGUGCCGAUGGCCUGAGAGGGUAAGAGCGAAGGAUUGUGGUCGGGAGAGAGAACGGGAGCUAAGGGGGAGUGGUCUUUGCCGAUGUGCUUGGCUCUGAGCGUGUUUUUGCUCGGCUGGGGUUUUCUGGAGACAUCGGGGUUGUCUCGUCUCGCUGAGAGUGUGAGGAGAUGGAAGCUGCGGCGGAAUCCGAUUCCGAUUCCGAGUCCGCCGUGGUGAAUCGACGCGCGACGGAGGAAGAGAGGAGAAGAGUGGCGGAUGAUGGAGAGAGACGAUAUCUGCAUUUGAAUAUUCUGGAAGAAUCCAAGAAUGUCUUCGCUGAGGGGAGUGAUGAUGCAAGAAGAAGAAGAUAUUAGAAUGGGCCGAGUCUUAACGGGCCAAAAGCCCAACGUUUCUUUUUCGUAGCUUCUUGAAAAAAGCUUAGUAAAUUAUGUUACAAACCUAACUAGGGGUUAUUGGUUGUUGUAUUUUAAUGGAUUUGAAAAUCCGAACUAAAUCUAGUGUUAUUGGUUCUAUGAUUUUCAAAUCUAUAUUAAAAUCAUGUGUUAUUGGUUUAAUGAUUCAUAAAUUCUGUAUCAAAUCAAAUGUUAUUCAAUCGUACGGGUUUACUAAUAUAUUUGAUUUUAUAAUGGAUUUGAAUGGAUUUGUUUGGAUUUUUUAGUUAAAAAUACAAAGACUCAAAUCCGAGGGAAAACUUCCGGAUUUGCAUAUUUUACUUGGAUUUAUAAAUGCUAUAUAAAUUUCUAAAUCAAUCAAAAUAUAUAAACCAAUAACACCUAAGUAACCGAAGAAUAAAAGCAAAGAAGUGUGUUAUGGAUUAUUAUGAGGUGGAGAACUUUGAGGCAAAAGCAUGCUCUGAUCAUGUGUUUAUGGUUAAAAUAAAGCUCUUCUCAAAUUUUUAAGACAGCAAACACCUUAUUUCAUUUUUUUUUCUCCCCCAAGUUUUGUUUUUAUUAAUCAAACGGCCAAACCCACUCGGCCUAAGCCCGAGUACACUAAGUACCAAACAAAAAGUCACAGACAGAACGGACUACAACAUUAACGGCCGAAGCCCAAGUAAACUAAACGGUCCAAAGGCCCAAACAUUGAAACCGGACAGCUUGACUUAGGCGCGCGAAAAGGAGGCUGGGGUUUGAACACGUGUAAGAAUCUGGGCCAUCAGUAUGACACGCGUCGCCCGCCUCGACUUGACCGAAACCUCUUCGCACAGCCGCCGGAACUUGCCACCGACAACCUCGUUUCGCCGGAGCUCAAAGACUGGAGAGCCUCCAACGAAACCUUAGCCAUUCUACGCCGCACUGUCUUCACGCCAGAGAGUUUCAUCGAUCUAACGAGAUCUCCUCCGACUAUGUAUCACCACAAACCCUAGACAGGCGAGCCGAGAACCACUGCUAUCCUCCUCUUGUACGUCCUCGCCGUUGCCGGAGAGCUUCAUCAUCAACCGAGAUCUCAUCCGCGACGGCCCACGAACCUAUACCUAACUACAAGAACCAUACCGCACUUAUCACACCUCAAUCUAAUCACCACAACCCAAAGGACCUCGGGUUCCAAGACGGCAGCGCGGAGCUUUGCAAGCCUCCACUCUCCGUGACCAAAAGCCGGCGAAGACAGAGCUGAAUGAUCCUCCCCUUCCCGGAAGCUCAAGCGGCGACGGUGUAUCUGAGAAAGCCUCCACCUCCCGCAUAAAGACCGGCGACGAUGGAUCUAGGGUAGCCUCCAUCUCCCGGUAAACACCACCUGAACAUGCAAGCCGCUCCAUCUCCACGGGGAACCUCCAAUCGAUCGCAUCGUUACUCCAGAAGUCGAGCCACCGUUGAUGGAUUGUUGCGGUACCAGAGUUCCGACAAGGCGGUCGAUGACGGGACUGCGAAGAAGGAGCGGAGAGGAACAAUUACAAAAGAAGGGAAAGGGCUCGGGCGACGGCACGGACGCUCACGCGCCGGCCGUACGCCGGACCCAAAAGCGACAUGUGUUUCUCUACUCUCUCUGUUCACAAAAAACGGUUUUGAUAUUAAUGGUAACUAACCACCAUAUUUCAUUAAACAAAGGAUUAAACACCAAAUUGUUUACAUGGGAAAAUUUAGGAGCUUUCGCGCGAGCUUCUUUUGCAAAGAGAUCAGCUCGAGAAUUAAACUCACGGGAAAUAAAAGAUAGAGAAAACAAAGUAAACAAAGAACGGUUAAAAAGAAAUUCUUCCCAUUCAGAAGUCAAAGUUUAAACAGGAGUUUCGGGUAAAUAAAUCCAUCCCAAAGUGAUAACUGAUAAAGAUAAAUCGAUGUUAAGUUUGUAGUUAGAAUCAUGGAACAAGAGCAUUUAAUGUUCUUAGAUGGGUGUCACGUGUGACACUAACUCUGGAUUAUGUGAUUUUUUCUUAACAGUUUUUAACCAAAUAGUGCUCUUUUCCAACUCUAUUAUCAUUAAAACCUAAACUUCUUCCACUGAAGUUGUAUGGGGAAAUUUCUUCUCGAUAAGAAACUUUUUCGUCUCAGAAGCUUGUCAUUUCAGCUAACAAUUUAGUAUGUCAAGUUUUAGCUUCAGUUGAAAACCUAACCUAACUAAGAUACAUUGAACUUAUACAGCCAGACCCGGCCCAGUCUAUAAUAUUGCCUAAAGCAAAAACCAAAUUUGGCGCCCCAAAAGAUUCGAACCUAUCAACUUUAAACCAGGUAAGGGGUACACAACCACUAGGGCACAUGAAAGUUUUGGUCAUUGUGAUGCCCAUAAAUAUAUAAUUCAGUUUGGCGCCUAAAGCUGGUGCUUCCCCAGCUUUAGGUCAGGGCCAGCACUGGUCAUUCAUAAAACUCUUCUCCGCAUAUAACAAAGAAAGACGCAAAUAAGUUGAAGUAAAAAUAGUUUGAGCAAGAACCCGACAACCAGACCAAGUGUAAGCCCUCUUGAAAAACAAACUUUACUCAGCAUCAUUUGUCUCAUUUUGAUGUAUAUCUGCUUUUGAUCUGUGCAGCUUGCAAGGCUAGAGGAUCCGAUCUUAGGGUUCACUUCAAGGUAUACAUCUUCUUCAAUCAUUCUCUCUUUUAUCUCAUUUGAUUCCAAUGUAGCUAGGCUUUACGAUUAGGCGAAUGGUAGCUUCUUCGUUCUUAGCUAAGUAAAACCUGAUUGAGCAAAAGCAGAGGUCUGUAGCUAUUUACAGAUCUCACGUAUACUUCAGGGAAAUCGAAUUGGUCAUCGUGAUUGGGUGAAUCUUAGUUUCAUUUUCUUAUAGCUUUAAAGAUUCAGUACAUGAUGGUACAUUGAUUAUAGUUGAUGUGUAGAGUUAUAGUGAGUAGUUGUUCAGUUAAUGAUGAUGCCACAUUCUUGUUCUGUUGAUUAGUUCUCAUAGUUUUUUUGUUUGAAACAGAACACUCGGGAAACAGCGCACGCUAUCAGGAAGCUACCAUUGCUCAAGGCCAAGAGGUACCUUGAGGAUGUGAUAGCUCACAAGCAGGCUAUUCCCUUCACCCGUUUCUGCAGAGGUGUUGGAAGGACUGCUCAAGCCAAGAACAGGCACUCCAAUGGUCAGGGACGUUGGCCUGCUAAGUCUGCUCAGUUCGUUCUUGAUUUGCUC
Molecule: long non-coding RNA, 6613 nt
Filed under: Brassica napus (rape)
Lineage: Eukaryota; Viridiplantae; Streptophyta; Magnoliopsida; Brassicales; Brassicaceae
Description: long non-coding RNA (BNAP_LNC019074)
Rfam family: Small nucleolar RNA snoR74 (bases 6170-6302)
Source: RNAcentral